RNAcentral lists this ribosomal RNA (255 nucleotides) under uncultured bacterium. RNAcentral describes it as "partial 16S ribosomal RNA". It matches the Rfam family "Bacterial small subunit ribosomal RNA", at positions 524 to 776 of the family's 1533-position model. The record is from RNAcentral.
UACGUAGGGUGCAAGCGUUGUCCGGAAUUAUUGGGCGUAAAGAGCUCGUAGGCGGUCAGUCGCGUCUGCUGUGAAAACUCGGGGCUUAACCCCGGGCCUGCAGUGGGUACGGGCUGACUAGAGUGCGGUAGGGGGAGACUGGAAUUCCUGGUGUAGCGGUGAAAUGCGCAGAUAUCAGGAGGAACACCGGUGGCGAAGGCGGGGUCUCUGGGCCGUAACUGACGCUGAGGAGCGAAAGCGUGGGGAGCGAACAGG